Molecule: ribosomal RNA, 415 nt
Filed under: uncultured bacterium
Lineage: Bacteria
Description: bacterial SSU rRNA
Rfam family: Bacterial small subunit ribosomal RNA
Source: RNAcentral
GAUGAACGCUAGCGGCAGGCUUAACACAUGCAAGUCGUGGGGCAGCGCGGACUUCGGUCUGGCGGCGACCGGCAAACGGUGCGGAACACGUACGCAACCUCCCUCAGAGCGGGGAAUAGCCUCUCGAAAGAGAGAUUAAAUACCCCAUAGUAUCUUGAAGACACAUGUCUAUGAGAUUAAAGCUUCGGCACUUUGAGAUGGGCUGCGGCUGAUUAGGUAGUUGGUAGGUAACGGCCUACCAAGCCGACGAUCAGUAGCUGAUGUGAGAGCAUGAUCAGCCACACGGGCACUGAGACACGGGCCCGAUCCUACGGGAGCAGCAGUGAGGAAUAUUGGUCAAAUGGAGGAAACUCUGAACCAGCCAUGCCGCGUGGAGGAUGAAGGUCCUCUGGAUUGUAAACUCCUUUUAUAAAAG